UCUUACCUGUCAGACAUCACAUCAUUGGAGGCAGUAGCAAUUAUGAACCCAACAAUAGUAGCCAGAGUUGCAUGGAUGGAGGACAGCAACCUUGUGAAGAGAUGGAAUAGAUGAGAUGAGGCUAUGCAAAUAAAGCAUUUUUUCGGUUGCAUGUACGUUUUUAUUUGGACCCUUUUUGGAAGUCCAUCUGUCGCUCAGUGAAACGCCAUUCUUUGCAUCAGUACAACACGCCUUACUGCAAGACCACCUAUUCAAGACCUGCAGUUGUCUCAGGGGUGCCCUACUGAACCAGCAAGCAAAGACAUCAGGAUGCAUUACAACUUUGAUUUUGCUCAACAAGUGCACUAUCCUUCUUACCCUAUGCAGCCAGGUCCCAUCUACUUUUUAACUCCUCGCAAGUGUGGCUUGUUUGGUGUCUGCUGUGAAGGAAUGCCACAACAAGUCAACUACUUGACUGAUGAAGGCCUGUCAUGCAGCAAAGGCAGCAGCGCAGUCAUCAACUACAUGCACCAUUUCUUCACCAACUACGGAGUUGGGGAAACACGUGGGGACCUGAAUUGUGAUAACUGCAGUGGCCAAAACAAGAACAAGUUUGUGCUCUGGUAUUCUGCCUGGCGGACCAUGCACAAGAUCCACCACAGUCUGGACCUUCACUUCCUGAUCAGAGGCCACAUCAAGUUUGCCCCGACUGGUGCUUCGGCCUCAUCAAGCAGCGCUUCAGAAAGACCAGAGUGAAUACUUUGUCUGAGAUGGUUGGUGUUGUGAAAGACAGCACAGUGACAGGGGUCAACAUCCCACAGCUGGUUGGACUGGAGGAUAGUACGGUGCUGGUGGAAGGCUAUGGCUGGCAACCACACCUGACUCCGUACUUCAGGCCGCUGCCACAGAUCAAGCAGUACCAGCACUUCAGCUUUGAUGCUCUGGAGCCUGGUGUUGUCGCCAAGGAGCGUUCAGUCAGGACCAGGUUUCAGCUGCUGCACAACGCUGACAUCCUUCCUCCCAUAGAUGGUCUGCCUGUACAAGCACCACCUGGACUGGAGAAAUCUAGACAAACAUAUACAGUGCCUUGCGAAAGUAUUCGGCCGCCUUGAACUUUGCGACCUUUUGCCACAUUUCAGGCUUCAAACAUAAAGAUAUAAAACUGUAUUUUUUGUAAAGAAUCAACAACAAGUGGGACACAAUCAUGAAAUGGAACGAAAACCUGAUGGAGUCUGCAAAAGACCUGAGACUGGGACGGAGAUUUGUCUUCCAACAAGACAAUGAUCCAAAACAUAAAGCAAAAUCUACAAUGGAAUGGUUCAAAAAUAAACAUAUCCAGGUGUUAGAAUGGCCAAGUCAAAGUCCAGACCUGAAUCCAAUCGAGAAUCUGUGGAAAGAACUGAAAACUGCUGUUCACAAAUGCUCUCCAUCCAACCUCACUGAGCUCGAGCUGUUUUGCAAGGAGGAAUGGGAAAAAUGUCAGUCUCUCGAUGUGCAAAACUGAUAGAGACAUACCCCGAGCGACUUACAGCUGUAAUCGCAGCAAAAGGUGGCGCUACAAAGUAUUAACUUGAGGGGGCUGAAUAAUUUUGCACGCCCAAUUUUUCAGUUUUUGAUUUGUUAAAAAAGUUUGAAAUAUCCAAUAAAUGUCGUUCCACUUCA
Oncorhynchus keta (chum salmon) is the source of this 1641-nucleotide long non-coding RNA. RefSeq lists it as uncharacterized. NCBI's taxonomy places the organism in Eukaryota, Metazoa, Chordata, Actinopteri, Salmoniformes, Salmonidae. The record is from RefSeq and is a predicted model, not a curated record. The transcript has 5 exons.